GCAGAAUUCCGCGAAUCAUCGAGUCUUUGAACGCAAGUUGCGCCCGAGGCUCGUCCGAGGGCAUGCCUGCCUGAGCGUCAU
RNAcentral lists this ribosomal RNA (81 nucleotides) under Tetraphis pellucida. RNAcentral describes it as "partial 5.8S ribosomal RNA". It matches the Rfam family "5.8S ribosomal RNA", at positions 74 to 154 of the family's 154-position model. Rfam says of the family: 5.8S ribosomal RNA (5.8S rRNA) is a component of the large subunit of the eukaryotic ribosome. It is transcribed by RNA polymerase I as part of the 45S precursor that also contains 18S and 28S rRNA. Lineage: Eukaryota; Viridiplantae; Streptophyta; Tetraphidopsida; Tetraphidales; Tetraphidaceae. The record is from RNAcentral.